CAAGAGCGUAUGUAAAUGUUGUUGCAGUUAAAAAGCUCGUAGUUGAACCUUGGGUUUGGUUGGCCGGUCCGCUUUUUUGCGAGUACUGGAUUCAACCGAGCCUUUCCUUCUGGCUAACCAGUCGUUUCGGCGGCUGGCGAACCAGGAUUUUUACUUUGAGAAAAUUAGAGUGUUCAAAGCAGGCAUUAGCUUGAAUAUAUUAGCAUGGAAUAAUAGAAUAGGACGUUAUGGUUCUAUUUUGUUGGUUUCUAGGACCAUCGUAAUGAUUAAUAGGGACGGUCGGGGGCAUCAGUAUUCAGUUGUCAGAGGUGAAAUUCUUGGAUUUACUGAAGACUAACUACUGCGAAAGCAUUUGCCAAGGACGUUUUCAUUAA
Molecule: ribosomal RNA, 374 nt
Filed under: uncultured eukaryote
Lineage: Eukaryota
Description: partial 18S ribosomal RNA
Rfam family: Eukaryotic small subunit ribosomal RNA
Source: RNAcentral